Molecule: non-coding RNA, 840 nt
Organism: Camellia sinensis
Lineage: Eukaryota; Viridiplantae; Streptophyta; Magnoliopsida; Ericales; Theaceae
Source: RefSeq, a predicted model, not a curated record
CUGAUCAUGAUGAUCGGGUUGUGCCAUUACACUCAUUAAAGUUAUUAGCGGUAAUUAAGAACCAAUCUGACCUCAUUGAUAAAAGACGAGUGUUUUACUCAGACAUAAGAGAUGACAAUCCAUUGAAUUCCAUUGUGUCAAAAGUGAAAAUUGUGCAACUUGCGGCAAAAGCUGACUUGGCUGAAAAAGAGAAUACUUUUGUCUUCAGACUUGUAUUAUGAUAUGGCAUAUUCAUUGCCACACUUUUCGUUUACAACUCUAGAUACAGCUACAGCAAAUCCAGAAAACUUAAAGAUGGAUAGUGAUGCAUCCUCAAUAAGUGAAGCUAGUUCAAAUAGUGCACUAGGAGACAACUGACGCUGCAAAGUCUUCCCAAGUUUCUAGAUGUCAAGAGUAUCGGAUGACUUUACUAGAUUUAUACUCUGGAUGUGGAGCCAUGUCAACUGGUCUCUGCCUUGGAGCAUCCGUAUCUGGUUUGAAACUGGUUACUAGGUGGGCUGUGGAUAUAAAUUCUAAUGCAUGCGAAAGUCUAAAGUUGAACCAUCCUGAAACUGAGGUGAGAAAUGAAGCAGCAGAAGAUUUCCUAUCUUUGCUUAAGGAGUGGGAAAAGCUUUGUAAAGAAUUUCAAUUGUUGGGUUCCCAUCAAUCAGAAGAUUCCAAUUCUGAACAAAACAGCUUGGACAGUGAUGAUGAUGUUGAUGAUGGCUCUAAGGUUCCUUCUGGAGAGUUCGAAGUGGGAAAAUUACUGGCCAUUUGUUAUGGUGACCCAAACAGUGUCAACAAACAUGGGCUGUAUUUUAAGGUAUAUAGACUUUAACCAAGAAUGACCUAUGAAUGUCU